RNAcentral lists this ribosomal RNA (495 nucleotides) under uncultured bacterium. RNAcentral's name for it is "partial 16S ribosomal RNA". It matches the Rfam family "Bacterial small subunit ribosomal RNA", at positions 36 to 507 of the family's 1533-position model. The record is from RNAcentral.
UCCUCCCUCUGGCGGCGUGCCUAAUACAUGCAAGUAGAACGCUGAAGGAGGAGCUUGCUUCUCCGGGUGAGUUGCGAACGGGUGAGUAACGCGUAGGUAACCUGCCUGGUAGCGGGGGAUAACUAUUGGAAACGAUAGCUAAUACCGCAUAACAGUAGAUGUUGCAUGACAUUUGCUUAAAAGGUGCAAUUGCAUCACUACCAGAUGGACCUGCGUUGUAUUAGCUAGUUGGUGAGGUAACGGCUCACCAAGGCGACGAUACAUAGCCGACCUGAGAGGGUGAUCGGCCACACUGGGACGGAGACACGGCCCAGACUCCUACGGGAGGCGGCAGUAGGGAAUCUUCGGCAAUGGACGGAAGUCUGACCGAGCAACGCCGCGUGAGUGAAGAAGGUUGUCGGAUCGUAAAGCUCUGUUGUAAGAGAAGAACGAGUGUGAGAGUGGAAAGUUCACACUGUGACGGUAUCUUACCAGAAAGGGACGGCUAACUACGUG